GACGAACGCUGGCGGCGUGCUUAACACAUGCAAGUCGAGCGGUAAGGCCCUUUCGGGGGUACACGAGCGGCGAACGGGUGAGUAACACGUGGGUGACCUGCCUCUAGCUCUGGGAUAAGCCUGGGAAGCUGGGUCUAAUACCGGAUAUGACCUCGCGGUGCAUGUUGCGGGGUGGAAAGCCUUGUGCGGCUAGGGAUGGGCCCGCGGCCUAUCAGCUUGUUGGUGGGGUGANGGCCUACCAAGGCGACGACGGGUAGCCGGCCUGAGAGGGCGACCGGCCACACUGGGACUGAGACACGGGCCCAGACUCCUACGGGAGGCAGCAGUGGGGAAUCUUGCGCAAUGGGCGAAAAGCCUGACGCAGCGACGCCGCGU
This 375-nucleotide ribosomal RNA is filed under the name uncultured bacterium. Its description in RNAcentral is "bacterial SSU rRNA". It matches the Rfam family "Bacterial small subunit ribosomal RNA", at positions 28 to 402 of the family's 1533-position model. The record is from RNAcentral.